RNAcentral lists this ribosomal RNA (510 nucleotides) under uncultured Alternaria. RNAcentral describes it as "eukaryotic LSU rRNA". The stretch from base 169 to 322 matches the Rfam family "5.8S ribosomal RNA". Lineage: Eukaryota; Fungi; Ascomycota; Dothideomycetes; Pleosporales; Pleosporaceae. The record is from RNAcentral.
UUACACAAAUAUGAAGGCGGGCUGGAACCUCUCGGGGUUACAGCCUUGCUGAAUUAUUCACCCUUGUCUUUUGCGUACUUCUUGUUUCCUUGGUGGGUUCGCCCACCACUAGGACAAACAUAAACCUUUUGUAAUUGCAAUCAGCGUCAGUAACAAAUUAAUAAUUACAACUUUCAACAACGGAUCUCUUGGUUCUGGCAUCGAUGAAGAACGCAGCGAAAUGCGAUAAGUAGUGUGAAUUGCAGAAUUCAGUGAAUCAUCGAAUCUUUGAACGCACAUUGCGCCCUUUGGUAUUCCAAAGGGCAUGCCUGUUCGAGCGUCAUUUGUACCCUCAAGCUUUGCUUGGUGUUGGGCGUCUUGUCUCUAGCUUUGCUGGAGACUCGCCUUAAAGUAAUUGGCAGCCGGCCUACUGGUUUCGGAGCGCAGCACAAGUCGCACUCUCUAUCAGCAAAGGUCUAGCAUCCAUUAAGCCUUUUUUUCAACUUUUGACCUCGGAUCAGGUAGGGAUAC